CAGUUUGACAAGUCUUUCUUCAAGUACAUUAUAAAUAACUGUUCAUAUGCAGACAUAGGUUGAGCAAUGUUGUGUCAUAGUCCUGGGUCGGUGAACCAGUGUUUUGAGUUUUGUACUUUUGUUUUCUUAGGAUGGUCGUGUUUCAGGUUUCAGUUUGUGCUUCUAGCUCUUCUGUACUCCUUGGUUUGAGAUUUCUACUGCUUAGCUUUUGGUCCCUGUACCCCCAAUGUUCUGUGUUGGUUUACUUCUGUCCUCGUGUUUGUCUUCUAAUUCCCCAGUCAGUAGUGUCUAAUGUCGCCCCUGUCCCUGUACUCAGUGUUCCCUCUGUUCAGUGUCUAGUCUGGGUCUGUGUGUCUGUCGUGUACUUCCUGUUUUACUUUGACAGUCUCUCGUCAGUGUGCAGCAUGUUGUGUUUGGUCUUUCCCUGUCUCAUUAUUAUUAUUAGUGUCAGCUGUGCUCCCUGUGUGCUCCUCCUUGUUAGCUUUCUGUGUAUUUAUGUCAGAGUCUCCCUCAGUUCCAUGUCAUGUCGUCCCUCUUAGUUGUGUGGAAUUCUCCACGUGUUUCCUGAGUGGUCAGCUAACUAGCUUUUCCCAGUUUAGGUUUGUAUUGUUUAUUUUCCCAAUGUGUAAAUAAAGCCAUUUUUUGAGUUACGUCGCGUUUCCGAGUCUGCAUCUGGGUCUUUUCCUGCCUGCACACAGCUGCUCCCUGACAUGUUCAGUACAGGGUCAGGAUGGCUGGUCAGUGACUUACACCUCUGCUCAGAUUUGUGCCUUAAAAGGAUCAACAGUGGACAUACGCUGCACCUACACGUACCCAUCCAGAGUAAAUGGGAACGUGACUGUAGUUGAAAAAGCUUUAUGGUUUACUAAAAUGAAGGGUGAUGAACAUGUGGAUGUGAGGACAGAGGCAGAGUUUGCAGGUCGUGUUCAGUAUCACUGUGAUAACAAAGACUGCACUCUGAGAAUCACAGACCUGAGAGAGAGCGACUCAGCUGAGUACAAGUUCAGAUUUGUGACAAACCAACCAGGAGGGAAAUAUACUGGAUCACCUGGAGUCACUCUGUCUGUCACAGUUCUCCAGGCACAAGUGAUAAAAACUUGGCCAACCUUGUAUCCUUCCUGGAAGAAGGUGACGUGUCAGAGCGGUUGUCGUCUACCUGAUCCUCAUUCAUAUGUCUGGUACCAGAACGAAGUGAAUAUUGACAGAAAGGAGUCUUCUUUUGAAAAAUACUUUGGUUAUACAGACAGCAUUUCCUGUGCUGUAAAAGGAUACGAGAAGCUUCCCUCUCCUUCAGUGUGUGUUGAUGAUCAAACCUGUAACAGAGUGUCUUACACCAGCAGAAGCAUCUGUGCCCUCAAAGGUUCAUCAGUGGACAUUUCUUGCAUCUACAGUCAUACACAUCCUGCUGUGUCCAAAUUCUGGUUCAGUCCUGAACGUAGUCAUCAGCAGCAGCAUCGCUCACACCCCGAGGACCUCAGAAAAGACUCCCACUAUGCAGGUCGUGUUGAGGUCAUUGAAACAGAGAGAGGACGCUCCACUCUGAGAAUCAGAGACCUGACAGAGAGGGAUUCAGCCGAGUAUCACUUUAAAUUCAAAACACAAAGCGUUGAAUGGAAGCGCAGUUUACCUGGAACAACUCUGACUGUAACAGCUCUGCAGGUGAAGGUGAGCAGAAUAAUAUCAGUCCAUCAGACUCAGACUGAGGCAGAGCUGAAGUGUGAAAGCAGCUGCAGUCCAGCUGGUCGUCUUUCUUACGUCUGGUUCAAGAACGGACAGAAAAACACGACACAGCAAACUUCUGCUUAUACAGACUACUUUAAUCCUGGAGACAACAUCUCCUGUGCUUUCUCAGGAUACGAGGAUUACCGCUCUCCAUCAGUGUAUCCUUCAAAGCUUCCCUCUGUGUCAGUGAGUCCCUCUGGUGAGAUAGUGGAGGGCAGUUCAGUCACUCUGACGUGUCGUACACAUGUUGAUCCUGCAGCUAACAGCAUUUUGUACAAAGGCAACCAAACCUUGCCUCUAACACUAGAAGGUAUUUAUCAUUUCACCUCCAUCAGCUCUGAGGACAGAGGAAUCUAUGAGUGCAAGACUGAAGAUCAGCUCUCUGUGUCUUUGUUCAUAGAUGUCCAGUAUGCUCCAAAGCUUCUCUCUGUGUCAGUCAGUCCCUCUGUGUGUAUAUACAUGUUUUACAAAUGAGAGGUCAGUCACUCUGACCUGUAGCAGUGAUGCUAACCCAGGAGCUAACUACACCUGGUACAAGGAGAAUGAUAACUCAGCAAAAGCAUUCGGACAGAACUUGAUCAUCACUGACUUCAGACCUGAACACAGUGGGAGUUAUUACUGUGAAGCCCAGAACACAAGAGGACGUCGCAGCUCCACCUCCCAUCAUCUCACUGUUGUGACAGGGAAAUCAAUAAUUAUACAGAAUAUUAUCAGGUUGACUUUGGUGGUCCUGAUGCUGAUUCCUCUGCUUCUUGUGAUUUUGUGGAUGAGGAAGAAGAAACCUUUGAGCUCUACAGCUGAAUCAAAUGAACUUAUGGAGACAAUGGAGAUGCAGUCAAACCAAAGACAGGACUCAGCUGAUGGAAACAGAAAGUAAAAAACAGCACAGUGGAGAGUGAUGCUGAUGCAAUGCAGAUUUAUAUUUUUACUUUUAGCUCCAGUUAUUUAAAGUUUAUUUGUCAGCAGCAGAACAUUAGACUAUAUUACAGCUUAUUUUUGGUCUUCUGUUACCUGUUCAGAUUAUGUGUAGUACAGAAGUCCUUAUCCAAGGUGUAUUUUUAGAUUCAUUUGUUUGUAAAAGUUAACAAAAAGAUGCUGAUCCAGAAGAAAAUAUUUUACAGCACUUGCGGCCUGUUUUUUGUUAACAAAAGAGAAAAACCUGCAGCUACAACAGCUCUGUAUAUUGAAGAUCAGUUCAGGUUGAUGCUUG
This is an RNA transcript of Oreochromis niloticus (Nile tilapia), 2932 nucleotides long. It is a transcript of the gene named sialoadhesin, with no coding region annotated. The transcript is spliced from 11 exons. Lineage: Eukaryota; Metazoa; Chordata; Actinopteri; Cichliformes; Cichlidae. The record is from RefSeq and is a predicted model, not a curated record.